AACGCACGAGACCUGCGGACCUGCGGAAGGAUCAUUAAUGAGAAACUGCCCCUCGCGGGUAGAUCUCCCACCCUUUGUAAACUUACCUUUGUUGCUUUGGCAGGCCCGUCUCCGGACCGCCGGCUUCGGCUGGCCAGUGCCUGCCAGAGGAUUCUAAAACUCUGUCUGUCAGUGUUGUCUGAGUCUAUGUACAAUUUAAAACUUUCAGCAAUGGAUCUCU
RNAcentral lists this unclassified non-coding RNA (220 nucleotides) under soil metagenome. RNAcentral's name for it is "partial contains 5.8S ribosomal RNA, internal transcribed spacer 2, and large subunit ribosomal RNA". The record is from RNAcentral.